GGGCGUAUGGUCUAGUGGUCAAGACGUCUCAGGUGCAAUGAGAAGAUCCCAGGUUCGAAUCCUGGUAUGUCCA
RNAcentral lists this transfer RNA (73 nucleotides) under Cercophora samala. RNAcentral's name for it is "tRNA-Ala". It matches the Rfam family "tRNA". Rfam says of the family: Transfer RNA (tRNA) molecules are approximately 80 nucleotides in length. Lineage: Eukaryota; Fungi; Ascomycota; Sordariomycetes; Sordariales; Lasiosphaeriaceae. The record is from RNAcentral.